Molecule: ribosomal RNA, 440 nt
Filed under: uncultured bacterium
Lineage: Bacteria
Description: partial 16S ribosomal RNA
Rfam family: Bacterial small subunit ribosomal RNA
Source: RNAcentral
CCUACGGGAGGCUGCAGUGGGGAAUAUUGCACAAUGGGGGAAACCCUGAUGCAGCGACGCCGCGUGAGUGAAGAAGUAAUUCGUUAUGUACAGCUCUAUCAGCAGGGAAGAAAAUUACGGUACCUGAGUAAGAAGCCCCUGCUAAAUACGUGCCAGCAGCCGCGGUCAUACGUAGGGGGCAAGCUUUAUCUGGAUGUACUGGGUGGAAAGGGAGCGGAGGCGGCAGUGCAAGUCUGGAGCGAAAUGCGGGGGUUGAACCCCCGGACGGCUCUGGAGAAUGUACAGCUGGAGUGCAGGAGAGGGAAGUGGAAUUCCUAGUGUAGCGGUGAAAUGCGUAGAUAUUAGGAGGAACACCAGUGGCGAAGGCGGCUUACUGGACUGUAACGGACGUUGAGGCUCGAAAGCGUGGGGAGCAAACAGGAUUAGAUACCCUAGUAGUC